GUGAAUCAUCGAAUUUUUGAACGCAAAUUGCACUCUCUUCGGAGAGUAUGCCUGUUUGAGGGUCAGCCUAAAAAAAAAAAUCGACAUAGUCGCUGUUUCGCGGUUUCAUUUGUCGGAAAUUUGUUCAUCUUAAACUUUUUGGUUUUAAUCGGUUUAAAUUUUUUUUUACGAUUCCAUGUACGUUUCUAAGAUUUAUUUCUUAUACGUUUAAGGUAUCGAUCUUUAUUAGACCUGACCGUACCA
This 243-nucleotide unclassified non-coding RNA is filed under the name Glomus sp. RNAcentral describes it as "partial contains 5.8S ribosomal RNA and internal transcribed spacer 2". The stretch from base 1 to 65 matches the Rfam family "5.8S ribosomal RNA", at positions 84 to 154 of the family's 154-position model. Lineage: Eukaryota; Fungi; Glomeromycota; Glomeromycetes; Glomerales; Glomeraceae. The record is from RNAcentral.